GAAGUGCGAUAAGCAAUGCGAAUUGCAGAACCGUGAGUCAUCAGAUUUUUGAACGCAACUGGCGCCGGCUGGCUCUCCAGUCGGCAUGCUUGUUUCAGUGUCUUUUUCUCUCCUCACCCAAAUCUUAAUGCGAGAGAUACCCUUCUCUUGCUAAGCAGGAAAGCACUCUGCGCUCAGCGAGCGACUUCGGCUAGUCCGAUGGUCGCACUCAAUGCAGCAGUCACAUUGCUUACAAUGUGAACUCAUUGAGAGCUGAGGCAGCGCAGCAUCCGCUGCCAGUGCUUAGCCAAGCAAACUUUCUUUGCAUCUGAAAUCAAGCAGGACCACCCGCUGAACUUAA
This 340-nucleotide unclassified non-coding RNA is filed under the name uncultured fungus. RNAcentral's name for it is "sequence contains ITS1". The stretch from base 1 to 103 matches the Rfam family "5.8S ribosomal RNA", at positions 50 to 154 of the family's 154-position model. Lineage: Eukaryota; Fungi. The record is from RNAcentral.